This 502-nucleotide ribosomal RNA is filed under the name uncultured bacterium. RNAcentral describes it as "partial 16S ribosomal RNA". It matches the Rfam family "Bacterial small subunit ribosomal RNA", at positions 28 to 523 of the family's 1533-position model. The record is from RNAcentral.
GAUGAACGCUAGCGGCAGGCCUAACACAUGCAAGUCGAGGGGCAGCACAGAAACAGCAAUGUUUUGGUGGCGACCGGCGGACGGGUGCGUAACGCGUAUGCAACCUACCUUUAACAGGGAGAUAACGGAGAGAAAAUUCCACGAAUACCCCAUAACAUCGAUCAAGGCAUCUUGAUUGGUCGAAAACGCCGGAGGUUAAAGAUGGGCAUGCGUUGUAUUAGGUAGUUGGUGAGGUAAUGGCUCACCAAGCCUACGAUACAUAGGGGGACUGAGAGGUUAGCCCCCCACACUGGUACUGAGACACGGACCAGACUCCUACGGGAGGCAGCAGUGAGGAAUAUUGGUCAAUGGGGGCAACCCUGAACCAGCCAUGCCGCGUGCAGGAAGACGGCUCUAUGAGUUGUAAACUGCUUUUAAACAGGUAUAAAGCACAGUAUGUAUACUGUGUUGAAGGUACUGUAAGAAUAAGGAUCGGCUAACUCCGUGCCAGCCGCCGCAGUAA